This 1581-nucleotide ribosomal RNA is filed under the name Sordariomycetes sp. 11323. Its description in RNAcentral is "eukaryotic LSU rRNA". The stretch from base 993 to 1581 matches the Rfam family "Eukaryotic large subunit ribosomal RNA", at positions 1 to 600 of the family's 3401-position model. Lineage: Eukaryota; Fungi; Ascomycota; Sordariomycetes. The record is from RNAcentral.
AGAGUUUAAUAAAACUCCUAAACCCCUGUGAACUCACUAUGUUGGAUUCUCGCCAGAGAUAGUCUGGUUUCUGCCACGCGGAUCGCCUGCCCGUGACACCUGUCACAGGUAGGUAUGCUUCUGCCGCGGGUUCGCAUGUAAAUCGUCUGUUUCACAAGGGACGGCGAUUUACCUGUGGAAGAGGUCCGCUAACUAUAUUCUUAUUAUAAAAUCUGUGAACUUACUGGUGUUUGGCUCGCCAGAUAUAGUCUGGUCCGUAAGCAAAUCGACUGCCUGCCUGUGUAACAGGCAGGUAAGCUUUUGUCGCGGGGUCCCGGAUCAACCCGGGCUAGAUAGCCACUUAACUAUAUACUUAUUAUAACCUAUGUGAACUUACUUGGUUUGACGCGGCAGAUAGCGCCUACCUCGCGAGACCCCACUCUGGGGAACUCGCAGAGUAGGCGCAGGGCUGUCUUUCCAUAUUCGUAAGACUCUCUCUAUUUUAUUAGAGAGCAGCCUACGCAGUGGACACAGUUAGUUACCUUAUACGUCGCGAGAUCGCAAGCGUUAUAGUGUAAAUACUGUGGAGGUCACCUAACUUUGUAUAUUUAGUUGGUUUAUCCGGGCUAGCAGUCAAUCUGACCUUGUUUGUUCACCAGAUUAAACACUCUGAAUAAACUCUUAAACUAGUUAAAACUUUCAACAACGGAUCUCUUGGUUCUGGCAUCGAUGAAGAACGCAGCGAAAUGCGAUAAGUAAUGUGAAUKGCAGAAUUCAGUGAAUCAUCGAAUCUUUGAACGCACAUUGCGCCCAUUAGUAUUCUAGUGGGCAUGCCUGUUCGAGCGUCAUUUCAACCCUUAAGCCCCUGUUGCUUAGCGUUGGGAGCCUACAGCCUGCUGUAGCUCCUUAAAGGUAGUGGCGGAGUCGGUUCACACUCUAGACGUAGUAAAAUCUUUAUCUCGCCUAUAGAUGAGCCGGCGCCUUGCCGUAAAACCCCUAGUCUUUCACAAGGUUGACCUCGGAUCAGGUAGGAAUACCCGCUGAACUUAAGCAUAUCAAUAAGCGGAGGAAAAGAAACCAACAGGGAUUGCCCUAGUAACGGCGAGUGAAGCGGCAACAGCUCAAAUUUGAAAUCUGGCCUUCGGGUCCGAGUUGUAAUUUGCAGAGGAUGCUUUGGGCGCGGUGCCUUCCGAGUUCCCUGGAACGGGACGCCUUAGAGGGUGAGAGCCCCGUACGGUUGGACACCAAGCCUCUGUAAAGCUCCUUCGACGAGUCGAGUAGUUUGGGAAUGCUGCUCUAAAUGGGAGGUAAAUUUCUUCUAAAGCUAAAUAUUGGCCAGAGACCGAUAGCGCACAAGUAGAGUGAUCGAAAGAUGAAAAGCACUUUGAAAAGAGGGUUAAAUAGCACGUGAAAUUGUUGAAAGGGAAGCGUUUGCGACCAGACCUUUUCCCAGCGGAUCAUCCGGUGUUCUCACCGGUGCACUUCGCUGGGUUGAGGCCAGCAUCGGUUUCCGCAGGGGGAUAAAAGCCCGGGGAACGUAGCUCCCUCGGGAGUGUUAUAGCCCCUCGCAUAAUACCCUUGCGGGGACCGAGGACCGCGCUC